RNAcentral lists this ribosomal RNA (484 nucleotides) under uncultured bacterium. RNAcentral describes it as "partial 16S ribosomal RNA". It matches the Rfam family "Bacterial small subunit ribosomal RNA", at positions 29 to 507 of the family's 1533-position model. The record is from RNAcentral.
AUUGAACGCUGGCGGCAUGCUUUACACAUGCAAGUCGAACGGCAGCGCGGGCUUCGGCCUGGCGGCGAGUGGCGAACGGGUGAGUAAUACAUCGGAACGUGCCCAGUAGUGGGGGAUAGCUCGACGAAAGCCGGAUUAAUACCGCAUACGACCUGAGGGUGAAAGCGGGGGAUCUUCGGACCUCGCGCUAUUUGAGCGGCCGAUGGCAGAUUAGCUAGUUGGUGGGGUAAAGGCCUACCAAGGCGACGAUCUGUAGCUGGUCUGAGAGGACGACCAGCCACACUGGAACUGAGACACGGCCCAGACUCCUACGGGAGGCAGCAGUGGGGAAUUUUGGACAAAGGGCGAAAGCCUGAUCCAGCAAUGCCGCGUGUGUGAUGAAGGCCUUCGGGUUGUAAAGCACUUUUGGCGGGAACGAAAAGGACUGUGCCAAUACCACGGUUCGAUGACGGUACCCGCAGAAUAAGCACCGGCUAACUACGUG